UCCUUGGUGGCUUAGACGGUAAAGAGUCUGCCUGCAAUGCAGGAAACACAGGUUCGAUCCCUGAGUCAGGAA
RNAcentral lists this transfer RNA (72 nucleotides) under Bos taurus (domestic cattle). It matches the Rfam family "tRNA". From Rfam's summary of the family: Transfer RNA (tRNA) molecules are approximately 80 nucleotides in length. The record is from Rfam by way of RNAcentral. Lineage: Eukaryota; Metazoa; Chordata; Mammalia; Artiodactyla; Bovidae. RNAcentral also lists the same sequence under 2 other names.